RNAcentral lists this long non-coding RNA (969 nucleotides) under Helianthus annuus (common sunflower). RNAcentral's name for it is "hypothetical non coding rna". Lineage: Eukaryota; Viridiplantae; Streptophyta; Magnoliopsida; Asterales; Asteraceae. The record is from RNAcentral.
UUGUUUCAGGUGUUGUCUGGUCAUUUUGCCAAUAGCAUUGUGUGUAUCUGGGCCAGCUCUUUAUUGGAAGCUCAAAAGGGGUUUUGAUUUGAAACCCACUUCUUUGAUCUCUUGUACUCCCUGCAUCUGUGAUUGUCCCCUCCUCUCUCAUUUCUUAAGCUUGCUCCUGGUAAUAAUCAAUAAAACCCUUUUUUGUUCUCGUUUGAUCGUGUUAUUUAUGGAGUUUCCAGGGUAUAUUUGGGAAUUAUGAUUCCAAAUGUCUAGAAUCAGAAUUUAAUUGUGUCAGUAUAGGUUUUGACUAAAUGGGUCUCAAUUCUGAUUCCAAGCCUCAAAUUUCAUUUCAUUAUUAUUUUAUGACAUGCAUGAUGUAAGACCAACUUGAUUUUCGUUUUUUUUUUAUUUUUAUGAUUUUUUAUUUUUUAGAGUUUUUAGAUUUUUUUGGAUCUUUUAGAAUUUUUUCAAUUUUUUUGAAUUUUUUUUUGAUUUUUUAGAAUCGGAUCAAAAUGGCCAUUGAAAAGAUUUAAAAUGAAAAUCCCCAAAAUGUCCCUUGUUAAGAAUGAGGUUUUUGGAUGGAGUUAGGGUCUGUGAUCAAAAUGGCAACAAAAUGGAAAAGUCAGGGACACAGCGGCGAAAAAAAAAACUAUUUGGACUAAAAUGACAAAUUUGGACAAACCACAGGACUAAAAUGGCAAUUUACUCUAAAAUAAAAAAUUGAUAAGAAUUGGGAUAAGUAAUUUGGUCUACCAUAAUACUUUUGAUUUUGAAUAUAAAAAAUCAAAAUUAUUUCCUGAAAUUAAAAGGUAGAUUUAUGAUUUUUUAAUUGUUUUUAGCUAUAAAAAUCUAAAUAUCUGUUAGAUAGUGGUAGAUUCAGGAUUUUUUUCAAUGAGGUCCAUUUUUUUCCGUUUCAAAAUUUUCAUAACAAAUCGUUAAAAUUUUCGGGUCGGGUCAUAGCGAGGUUUGAACUAGAUU